RNAcentral lists this unclassified non-coding RNA (221 nucleotides) under Hevea brasiliensis (rubber tree). The record is from RNAcentral. Lineage: Eukaryota; Viridiplantae; Streptophyta; Magnoliopsida; Malpighiales; Euphorbiaceae.
UUACUUAUUGUAGGAUGGAUGGCAUGGCACCUGUGUGAAGAACGAUGAUAAUGUUUCCGUGAGGUGGAAUUUCCAAGAGGCGACGUCGACGGCGCAGAUUGGAGGCGUGCGCACGUGGCUUCGGGAUUUAAUCACGAGUGUAUUGAAGGACAUUUUUUGGCCGGAGACCUCGGAAGGGGAAAUAGGUAUUGUGGGGCCCGAUGUGAUUAUGGGGAUUCUAG